RNAcentral lists this ribosomal RNA (467 nucleotides) under uncultured bacterium. RNAcentral describes it as "partial 16S ribosomal RNA". It matches the Rfam family "Bacterial small subunit ribosomal RNA", at positions 28 to 507 of the family's 1533-position model. The record is from RNAcentral.
GACGAACGCUGGCGGCGUGCUUAACACAUGCAAGUCGAACGGAAAGGCCGCUAUCGGGGGGUACUCCAGUGGCGGACGGGUGGGUGACACGUGAGUAACCUGCCCUCGACUUUGGGGUAGCGUCAGGAAAAUGGGGCUAUUCCCGGAUAGGGGCUCCUGCUGCAGGGUGGGGGUUGGAAAGCUUCGGAGGUUGGGGGUGGACUCGCGGCGUAUCAGCUUGUGGGUGGGGUCGUGGCUUAGCAAGGCUUUGACGGGUAGCCGGCCUGCGAGGGUGAGCGGCCACACUGGGACUGAGAGACGGCCCAGACUGCUACGGGAGGGAGCAGGGGGGAAUACUGCACAAUGGGUGGAAGCCUGAGGCAGCAAGGCCGUGUGCGGGAUAACGGCCUUGUGGUGGUAGACCGCCUUCGCGCAUGACGAAGCCUUGUGUGACGGUAGUGGAUAAAGAAGCACCGGCUAACUACGUG